CAGUGAGGGUGAGUGCAAGAGAUACAUCAAUAUGAGGUAUCAAACUGAGGCUUAGAUGUUCCUUUUAAGUGGCUGCUCAUUUCCUUGAGCCAUAACAUGGGCUAAAGGUUAACUUACACAUUCUCUGUGGAAGAACAGUUUCUUUUUUGGGAAGGGAGAAGGAGGGGGGAAGGGCGUUGUUUCGUGUUCUUUCCUACCUAUAGACUAAAUGUAAUUGUACAGUGCUGUUCAUGCAGAUUUUUUUUUUUUUUCUCCCCACUGGAUUAUUUGCUAAUCAGACUUCAGUGCAGUGGCGAUAAGAGAGAGACUGUUGCCUAGCUCGGAGGCUCUGCCGAGCGCCCGAGCCCUGGAGCUGAGGACCGAAGCAGCUGCCGCUCUCCGGCUCCUGGCGUCUCUCCGCUCCCGUCCUCUCGCCCCCGCCAAUGGGCCUAGCGCGGGGGAGCUGUCCGAGGUGCUAGGAUGCUGGCUGCGCGGGGGGUCAGGGCAGCCGGAUUGCAGCAGGAGAGGAGCCCCACAGUCCUGCUGGCACCCGAAGGUAGGCUUGCUCUUUGUUUGAGAAUCCCUGAUUAAUCAACAGUAGCAUCAACAGACUAAGGCAGCUGGAGAGAGCAAGCCUGCCUGUAGUCACGGGGGAGAGAGAGAGAGAGACGAUGCCACAAGCUAGACUGCCUCAGACCUUCUGUAUUUAAGUGGCAAUGAGAGAGCGAGCGUCUUUCCUGCUGCAAGAAGCCAUUUGGAUAGGAUGUUUUCUAUUCCUUAUAUUCCGUUCUUUUUGUCUCCACAGAACAUAUUCAAAUGAGGCACCUUAGAAAUCUCUGUGUUAGUGCAUAUGAUGGUGCCGUAAUCUUCUAUGUUGUAAAGUGGGUAAAAAUCAUCCAGUUUCUUCUCUGCUGGACCUCAAAGCAGGGUGUUGUUUAUACCCUCCCAUUAUCUGUACCCUCUCUUCUCUGAAUGUGGAUUUAAAGAAGCAAGCACCUGUCUUCUCUUGCCACUGCAUUUUUUAAAAGCCAAACUUUCCAUGCCAUUUUAAUCGUGUGUUAAGAAGAUCUGUAACGUAACACACUGACUUAUAGUGAUGUCGAAUUCUACAAUCUGGGCAAUUUUGCCAACAAGAUUUAAUGCACUUUAACUGAAGAAAAAACUGAGCCUAACUGCAAAUCUGUUUCUUAUGGUGCUGAAAUAUCCCUUCCGACUGCACUGAGAUAACCACAGGAAAGGGCUUUUACAGGCAAAAGUCACCUUUGAUUAUUGCACUUAGCAGUCCCCGUGGACUUAAAUUUUGGAAACGUUGCUUUCCUUUGUUCAUUAUCUCCUGCAAGAUGAUGAGUUCUAAUCAGGAGGAGGUCACUUUGGGCGCUUUUCUCCAGUAUAUUGAAGAUAUGGGGAUGAAGGCCUAUGAUGGCUUGGUUAUACAGAAUGCAUCAGACAUUGCUCGAGAGAAUGAUCGCAUGAGGAAUGAAACAAACCUGGCUUACUUGAAAGAAAAGAGUGAAAAACGCCGAAAACAAGAAGAAGCAAUAAAACGCAUAGGUGGAGAGGUAGUGAGAGGAAAUGAAGGAGGCUAUGUGGGGAAGCAUUUCCGCAUGGGAUUUAUGACAAUGCCUGCUCCUCAGGACAGACUGCCACAUCCUUGCUCCAGUGGCUUUACCGUGAGAUCCCAGUCUCUUCAUUCUGUUGGAGGAACCGAUGAUGAAAGUAGCAGCUCUCGUAAGCAGCCACCUCCAAAACCUAAGAGAGACCCCAACACCAAACUGAGCACCUCAUCUGAAACAGUCAACACUGGAACAACAAGUAAAAGUGGGAAACUACCGGACAGGACUGAAGUGUCAGCCAAACCAAGACCUCACAGUGAUGAAUACACAAAGAAGAUUCCACCUCCUAAGCCGAAACGAAAUCCAAACACUCAGCUAAGCACAUCUUUUGAUGAAACGUAUAUCAAAAAGCAUGGCCCUAUGAAGACAACACUCACUAGGGAUGCCUCUUUAUCGCAGGUCAGCAGUCCCGCCCCAGACACAGAGGAAGAAGAGCCUGUUUAUAUUGAGAUGGUUGGGAAUAUUCUCAGAGACUUCAAAAAAGACGAGGAUGACCAAAGCGAAGCAGUCUAUGAAGAGAUGAAAUACCCUAUAUUUGAUGAUGUAGGCCAAGAAUCAAAAUGUCAAUGUGAAUAUGACCAUCACACUUGUUCUUCUCAGUGUGCUACUCCCACAGUGCCUGACCUAGAUUUCACCAAGUCUUCAGUGCCAUCUACUCCCAAGGGCUUGCUUUGUGAUAUACCCCCACCAUUUCCAAAUCUGCUUUCUCACAGACCUCCACUGCUGGUGUUCCCACCAGCACCAGUGCAGUGUUCCCCGAAUUCUGACGAGUCUCCUCUAACUCCACUAGAGGUCACAAAGCUUCCUGUUUUAGAAAAUGUGUCUUACAUCAAACAACAAGCUGGAGCUUCUCCAUCUUCACUGCCACCUCACACAUCAGGCCAUCAAAAACUGGAGAAAGACCAGACAGUAUCUCAUGGAACUAGCACCCCUGGGCACACUUCCUCACCUCCUCAUCCAUCUACCCUAUACAGAACACAGUCUCCGCAUGGUUAUCCUAAAAGUCACUCUGCCUCACCUUCUCCUGUCAGUAUGGGUAGGUCUCUUACCCCCUUAAGCCUCAAAAGACCUCCACCUUAUGACUCUGUACAUUCAGGAAGUCUCUCAAGAAGCUCUCCAUCAGUGCCUCAUUCUACAGCCAGAAACACGUUGCAAGAAGGAGGAAAGAUGGUAAAUGCCUCAGUCAGUACCUACGGGUCAUCAUCUCAGAGUGGUUCCCGUUCUCGGACACCCACCAGUCCUCUGGAGGAACUAACCAGCCUCUUUACCUCAGGACGAAGUCUCCUGAGGAAGUCCUCCAGUGGCAGAAGAUCUAAGGAACCUGCAGAAAAACCACUGGAUGAGCUGAAGAUCAGAAGUCACAGCACUGAACCACUACCAAAGCUGGAAAACAAAGAGAGGGGAGUCCAUCAUGGGACAGCUUCCUCCAGGGAGCCAGGGAAAGCUCAGGAAUGGGAUGGAACGCCAGGCCCGCCUGUGGUGUCCAGCAGGCUGGGGAGAUCCUCUGUCAGUCCAACCAUGUUGGCUGGAAGCAACAGCUCAGAGCCUAAAGCAAGUUGCAGGUUAGGUCGGUCUGCGUCAACAUCAGGUGUGCCUCCUCCAUCCGUUACUCCGCUCAGGCAAGCCAGUGAUCUUCAGCCGAGCCAGGUGACGUGUAUGCAGUGGUUGCAAGGGGACCAUACAAUGCUGGAUAUGAUUGAGAAAAAACGUUGCCUCUGCAAAGAAAUAAAAGCUCGACAGAAAUCAGAAAAAGGACUCUGCAAACAGGACAGCAUGCCUAUUUUGCCAAGUUGGAAAAAGAAUACCGGGACCAAGAAAUACAGCCCUCCUCCUUAUUCCAAGCAACAAACUGUUUUCUGGGACACUGCAAUUUGACAGGCGUGUGGAGGAUGCCCUCUCCACUGUGUGGCACCGAGCACAGGUAGCCUGCUUUUUUAAUAAGGCAAAGGCUCUAACCUAAGACUUACCUGCAGGUGGUGAACUUCCUAGGAAAAAACCACAACGAUACAGUGCUCACCUGUCAAUCAAGAGAGAGAUUUAAGUUUCUGACUGGAUUAAGGCGUACAUAUUUAUCCAGGAUUUUUUUGGAUCCAGAAGAUAUCAAAAUAAAGAAAAUGGCAGAAGAAAAACUCCAGAGAUCUCGCAAAGUUCCAGAAUCUGCUGGAAAGAAGACGACUUGUUGGUCAUGAGAAAUCUGUUGAGAUAACAGGUUCAUUAUUCAGAAAGUGUUUAUGCUUUGUCUUCCUUGUUACGUGGCAAGAGAAGAGUUUUUCAUAACCAUGUGUGAAAUACUUUGCUCAGCCCUUUCCCCCAGCUGCACCAAGUCUCUGGUGACAAAACGAAAGCCGGCAUUCAGUCAGUCUUGAUACUCCUCUGCACUGAUAUCUUCCUGGAGCAAUUACUUUAAAAAGCCUGCUACCGAAGCGUCGAUUUUGCAGUCCAGACCCAUGGCGGGUACGCAUGGGCGCUGCAGUGCCAGGCCCUUUGAGGGAAGGCAAACGUUAAUGUAAACAGUUACAUGUUUAAUAGUGUUUGUUCAUAUUGUGUCCUUUUCAUAUUGAUAUGUAAUAGGAAUAAUGAUCAGGGAAUUGAACCAUUCUUGUCCUAAGCAGACUUGCUUGUAUGCUUAGCCAACCAUGAAACCACUCCUUGUUUUGCUUUUAUUGCUCAACACUGUUUAUGUUGUCCUUCCUAAAAAACUGCCCACGUGCUUCCAGACCUCCAUUGUAUCCCAUGGAAACAAUGGCUUCUUGUUUUAACGUGCGACAGUACAUGAAAAAGUAAAAUAUAACUUAGCACUUACCUUCAAAGCACUUUAGAAAUGUGAACUAAACCUCACGCUUGCGAGAAUCGUUUUACAGAGGAGGGAAGUGAGGCUCAGGUGGAGUAGUUUCCAAAGGUCAUGGACAGAGCCAGAGCAAGACAUACGCCGCCAUCCUGUCCCGUGACUGCUGGCCCACCCCAUCGCUCAAGUAAAAAGUGCAUCGUACUGCCGAGAGCAUGCCAUCAAAAUGCUGUUAAACAUUUUCUGCAUCACCUAUUGUCUCAGCAGUUUCUGUGUCACAGGGUGAAUGACAGUGCUUAGUUACACACGGUCAUUAAAGCUAUAGUCUGUACAAAUAUGCAAUCUGUAUAUACAUACAGAUCACAUAUAUACACACACUUACGAGGACUGUAUAUAUGAAAUUGUUUGGUAUGCACUUAUUUUGCUUUAAACUCCUGAAGUUAAACAUUAUAGUGUAGCAAUUUGUGUAAAGUGCACUGUGAUUUCAAGAAAGCACAGUAAAGUCACAGGUCUUGUUAUUCUUGCACUAAAAAUGUGUUUACGUAUACUAGCCAAUGUAUGUCUACUUUAUUGCUCCUUUUGACAAAUUAAAGCAAAUGGUAUAAAAUGGUAUGGGGUUUUUUGGUUUGGGUUGUUUAUUUUUAAGUGGACAAUGGCACUAUGUUUUUAAAUGACAGGGUUUUUAAAUAAAAUGAAAUCAUUCUGUGUUCAUUCCAAUGUAAUACAUUUACCAAUAUCUUGAAAUUGAAUGUCAUGUUGCUUUUUUUCAUAUUUCAUUAGAAAUUGUCAGGUAUGUGCCUGAGAUUGUGUAGGAGUAAGGAGUAGCUAGAGGCUAACUGUAAUCAUAUAUUAUUAGCCGUUUCUAUAUACACAGUAUAAAUACAUAUUAAUUUUCUUUUCAUUUUUGUACUUGAUUUUUUUAGGUAAGAUGUAAUUAAAUGUACUUUGAUACUUCUGAAGUAAUAAGACGUUGUUUGAAGAUCAAUUCUGCUUUCUUUAGUGCAUUGACAAUAUUUUACAAUAAUUUAGUGCUUAUUUAUUUGUGCUCCGGUGUAAUUAUAAUAAAAAGCAAUAGUUUAAAAUA
This is an RNA transcript of Harpia harpyja (harpy eagle), 5461 nucleotides long. It is a transcript of the gene named neuronal tyrosine-phosphorylated phosphoinositide-3-kinase adaptor 2, with no coding region annotated. Lineage: Eukaryota; Metazoa; Chordata; Aves; Accipitriformes; Accipitridae. The record is from RefSeq and is a predicted model, not a curated record. The transcript is spliced from 8 exons.